CGGCUUCCUACGGGAGGCAGCAGUCGAGAAUCUUUCGCAAUGGGCGAAAGCCUGACGAAGCGACGCCGUGUGAAUGAAGAAGGCCUUCGGGUCGUAAAGUUCUUUCGCCUGGGAACAAGAGAAGCUGGCUAAUAUCUAGCUAAUUAGAGGGUACCAGGUAAAGAAGCACCGGCUAACUCCGUGCCAGCAGCUGCGGUAAUACGGAGGGUGCAAGCGUUAAUCGGAUUUAUUGGGCGUAAAGAGCGCGUAGGCGGGAAUGCAAGCCAGACGUGAAAUCCCGGGGCUCAACCCCGGAACGGCGUUUGGAACUGCAUUUCUAGAGGGUAGGCGGAGAAAAUGGAAUUCCACGUGUAGCGGUGAAAUGCGUAGAUAUGUGGAAGAACACC
This 386-nucleotide ribosomal RNA is filed under the name uncultured bacterium. RNAcentral's name for it is "bacterial SSU rRNA". It matches the Rfam family "Bacterial small subunit ribosomal RNA", at positions 332 to 710 of the family's 1533-position model. The record is from RNAcentral.